Molecule: ribosomal RNA, 462 nt
Filed under: uncultured bacterium
Lineage: Bacteria
Description: bacterial SSU rRNA
Rfam family: Bacterial small subunit ribosomal RNA
Source: RNAcentral
GCCAGACUCCUACGGGAGGCAGCAGUGAGGAAUAUUGGUCAAUGGUCGGGAGACUGAACCAGCCAAGCCGCGUGAGGGAGGAAGGUACAGAGUAUCGUAAACCUCUUUUGUCAGGGAACAAAGACUGGGACGCGUCCCCGGAUGAGUGUACCUGAAGAAAAAGCAUCGGCUAACUCCGUGCCAGCAGCCGCGGUAAUACGGAGGAUGCGAGCGUUAUCCGGAUUUAUUGGGUUUAAAGGGUGCGUAGGCGGAAUGCCAAGUCAGCGUUAAAAUCGGGGGGCUCAACCUCGCUCCGCCGUUGAAACUGGCGUUCUUGAGUGGGCGAGAAGUAUGCGGAAUGCGUGGUGUAGCGGUGAAAUGCAUAGAUAUCACGCAGAACUCCGAUUGCGAAGGCAGCAUACCGGCGCCCAACUGACGCUGAAGCACGAAAGCGUGGGUAUCGAACAGGAUUAGAUACCAAGU